RNAcentral lists this unclassified non-coding RNA (186 nucleotides) under uncultured fungus. RNAcentral's name for it is "sequence contains ITS1". Lineage: Eukaryota; Fungi. The record is from RNAcentral.
GAAAUGCGAUACGUAAUGUGAAUUGCAUCAGUCAGCCAAUACGGUCAAACGGAUUAUUACUUUUGCUGCAGCUAAUAUAAAGGGAGUUUGACCGUAUUGGCUGACUGAUGCAGGAUUUCACAAGGGUCGGCAACGAUUCUUGUAAAACUCGAUCUCAAAUCAAGUAAGACUACCCGCUGAACUUAA